GGGGGAGGAAGAAGUAGAAAUUGAUUACAUCUCAGGCUCAGCCCCAAACCUUUUCUGCAUCAGCUGUGAGGAAGAGCCUGAAUCCAUCAGUACAGAGGACAUGAAUCCGCAGCACCGCAAUGGAGGAUGGGGAAGGUAAACUCCAGGAGGAGCUUGUGAAGCCUUUUUAAAUUCACUCCUCGUACCUGGACUGCACCAAAAAAGAGAUUAACCUAUUCCUCUAUGUUUCCUUCUCCACAACCCAGAAUGGACCUUCAUGGAGCAGCAGCACAAACAACAUGGCAUAGGUAUUGAGAACCACUUCGGUUAGCUGCUAGCCAUCUGACUGGAAACAGCCCCAUGAUGGUUAUUUUACAGUCUCAAUGCAAGCUAGAGGUACACAAAUGGAAACAGGUUAUUUCCCUGAGAAAGAAACAUUUCCUUCUGUAAGACUUGUCAUUCAUGUAAGGACAGCUCUGUGGCAUCAAC
Non-coding RNA from Pogona vitticeps (central bearded dragon), 468 nucleotides. The record is from RefSeq and is a predicted model, not a curated record. Lineage: Eukaryota; Metazoa; Chordata; Lepidosauria; Squamata; Agamidae.